GCGUUAUGCGCGCGCAUGUUGAAAACAAGCCACAGAAAUAAAACGAAAGGCGAUUUUUAAAAUACUAUUUAUCACAAACACUUAAAGAAAAUGACAGCGCGAUAUUUUCGCAGUGUUACCAAUUAAGCACCUCUGAUCCCCGAUACUCAAAGAACAAACUAACCACAUUCACCGCCUCACUCACCAUUUAUAAUAAAUAAUUUAGUACACAUGAAAUUUGGAUUUAGCUACUUUUUGUGAUGUUUUUUGUUCAAGAAAUAGAGGCCAUGUUUGAUUCUCAUCAGUUGCUCCAUGUGCAACAUCGUUGAAAUUUUCUACAGAGCCUUGGGAUGAACUGCUUAGUCCACUGUCCUCGUUCGGGGGUACCAAAGGUUGGUCAGGUCGGCUUGCAAAAAUUUUCAAUAAUUGUUCAUCCCGAAUACUUAAUCGACGCUUGUUUCGCUGAGGCGACAUUACCUCCACCGAGGUCUGCUUUAGUUGGCUUUCUUGUAAAGGCUUCUUUUUUACAAUAACAUUCUUCAGCUGUAUAUUUUUUCGCGAUCUAUCAAGUGCCGUUGUAUAUGUUAGUGUUUGCCAUGUUGGAGCUCGGGUUACAAAUUUGUCCAUGAUAAAUAAACUAUACGCCCACAGGCGCUAACCACGGCGUA
This is a long non-coding RNA of Anastrepha obliqua, 647 nucleotides long. RefSeq lists it as uncharacterized. The record is from RefSeq and is a predicted model, not a curated record. Lineage: Eukaryota; Metazoa; Arthropoda; Insecta; Diptera; Tephritidae. The transcript is spliced from 3 exons.